Molecule: ribosomal RNA, 253 nt
Filed under: uncultured bacterium
Lineage: Bacteria
Description: partial 16S ribosomal RNA
Rfam family: Bacterial small subunit ribosomal RNA
Source: RNAcentral
UACAGAGGUCCCGAGCGUUGUUCGGAUUCACUGGGCGUAAAGGGUGCGUAGGUGGUGAGGUAAGUCGGAUGUGAAAUCUCCGGGCUCAACCCGGAAAUGGCAUUGGAAACUACCUUGCUGGAGUACGGUAGGGGCAGAGGGAAUUUCCGGUGGAGCGGUGAAAUGCGUAGAGAUCGGAAAGAACACCAACGGCGAAAGCACUCUGCUGGGCCGACACUGACACUGAGAGACGAAAGCUAGGGGAGCGAAUGGG